This 1378-nucleotide ribosomal RNA is filed under the name Parabacteroides distasonis. RNAcentral describes it as "bacterial SSU rRNA". It matches the Rfam family "Bacterial small subunit ribosomal RNA", at positions 59 to 1435 of the family's 1533-position model. The record is from RNAcentral. Lineage: Bacteria; Pseudomonadati; Bacteroidota; Bacteroidia; Bacteroidales; Tannerellaceae.
AAGUCGAGGGGCAGCACAGGUAGCAAUACCGGGUGGCGACCGGCGCACGGGUGAGUAACGCGUAUGCAACUUGCCUAUCAGAGGGGGAUAACCCGGCGAAAGUCGGACUAAUACCGCAUGAAGCAGGGGCCCCGCAUGGGGAUAUUUGCUAAAGAUUCAUCGCUGAUAGAUAGGCAUGCGUUCCAUUAGGCAGUUGGCGGGGUAACGGCCCACCAAACCGACGAUGGAUAGGGGUUCUGAGAGGAAGGUCCCCCACAUUGGUACUGAGACACGGACCAAACUCCUACGGGAGGCAGCAGUGAGGAAUAUUGGUCAAUGGCCGAGAGGCUGAACCAGCCAAGUCGCGUGAGGGAUGAAGGUUCUAUGGAUCGUAAACCUCUUUUAUAAGGGAAUAAAGUGCGGGACGUGUCCCGUUUUGUAUGUACCUUAUGAAUAAGGAUCGGCUAACUCCGUGCCAGCAGCCGCGGUAAUACGGAGGAUCCGAGCGUUAUCCGGAUUUAUUGGGUUUAAAGGGUGCGUAGGCGGCCUUUUAAGUCAGCGGUGAAAGUCUGUGGCUCAACCAUAGAAUUGCCGUUGAAACUGGGGGGCUUGAGUAUGUUUGAGGCAGGCGGAAUGCGUGGUGUAGCGGUGAAAUGCAUAGAUAUCACGCAGAACCCCGAUUGCGAAGGCAGCCUGCCAAGCCAUUACUGACGCUGAUGCACGAAAGCGUGGGGAUCAAACAGGAUUAGAUACCCUGGUAGUCCACGCAGUAAACGAUGAUCACUAGCUGUUUGCGAUACACUGUAAGCGGCACAGCGAAAGCGUUAAGUGAUCCACCUGGGGAGUACGCCGGCAACGGUGAAACUCAAAGGAAUUGACGGGGGCCCGCACAAGCGGAGGAACAUGUGGUUUAAUUCGAUGAUACGCGAGGAACCUUACCCGGGUUUGAACGCAUUCGGACCGAGGUGGAAACACCUUUUCUAGCAAUAGCCGUUUGCGAGGUGCUGCAUGGUUGUCGUCAGCUCGUGCCGUGAGGUGUCGGCUUAAGUGCCAUAACGAGCGCAACCCUUGCCACUAGUUACUAACAGGUAAAGCUGAGGACUCUGGUGGGACUGCCAGCGUAAGCUGCGAGGAAGGCGGGGAUGACGUCAAAUCAGCACGGCCCUUACAUCCGGGGCGACACACGUGUUACAAUGGCGUGGACAAAGGGAGGCCACCUGGCGACAGGGAGCGAAUCCCCAAACCACGUCUCAGUUCGGAUCGGAGUCUGCAACCCGACUCCGUGAAGCUGGAUUCGCUAGUAAUCGCGCAUCAGCCAUGGCGCGGUGAAUACGUUCCCGGGCCUUGUACACACCGCCCGUCAAGCCAUGGGAGCCGGGGGUACCUGAAGUCCGUAACC